UACGUAGGCAGCAAGCGUUGUUCGGAGUUACUGGGCGUAAAGAGUGCGUAGGCGGUGCUCUAAGUUUGGUGUGAAAUCUCCCGGCUCAACUGGGAGGGUGCGCCGAAAACUGGAGUGCUUGAGUAUGGGAGAGGCAAGCGGAAUCCCUGGUGUAGCGGUGAAAUGCGUAGAUAUCAGGAGGAACACCUGUGGUGUAGACAGCUUGCUGGACCAUCACUGACGCUGAGGCACGAAAGCGUGGGUAGCAAACAGG
Molecule: ribosomal RNA, 253 nt
Filed under: uncultured bacterium
Lineage: Bacteria
Description: partial 16S ribosomal RNA
Rfam family: Bacterial small subunit ribosomal RNA
Source: RNAcentral